UUGAACGCUGGCGGCAGGCCUCACCCAUGCAAGUCGCGCGGAUGAAGGGAGCUUGCUCCUGGAUUCAGCGGCGGACGGGUGAGUAAUGCCUAGGAAUCUGCCUGGUAGUGGGGGAUAACGUCCGGAAACGGGCGCUAAUACCGCAUACGUCCUGAGGGAGAAAGUGGGGGAUCUUCGGACCUCACGCCAUCAGAUGAGCCUAGGUCGGAUUAGCUAGUUGGUGGGGUAAAGGCCUACCAAGGCGACGAUCCGUAACUGGUCUGAGAGGAUGAUCAGUCACACUGGAACUGAGACACGGUCCAGACUCCUACGGGAGGCAGCAGUGGGGUAUAUUGGACAAUGGGCGAAAGCCUGAUCCAGCCAUGCCGCGUGUGUGAAGAAGGUCUUCGGAUUGUAAAGCACUUUAAGUUGGGAGGAAGGGCAGUAAGUUAAUACCUUGCUGUUUUGACGUUACCAACAGAAUAAGCACCGGCUAACUUCGUG
RNAcentral lists this ribosomal RNA (483 nucleotides) under uncultured bacterium. Its description in RNAcentral is "partial 16S ribosomal RNA". It matches the Rfam family "Bacterial small subunit ribosomal RNA", at positions 30 to 507 of the family's 1533-position model. The record is from RNAcentral.